Heterocephalus glaber (naked mole-rat) is the source of this 880-nucleotide long non-coding RNA. NCBI's taxonomy places the organism in Eukaryota, Metazoa, Chordata, Mammalia, Rodentia, Bathyergidae. The record is from Ensembl.
GAGAGAGAGAUGCAAUGUGUGGAAGGAGGCGAUGCACGUUCCAUAGCAUCACUAUGUGACUGCUGCUGCCUGAUAAUCUUGCUUCCAGCUCCCUGAGUCAACAACUAACUGAGGUGCCUUUUCUUUUACAAAAGGAUGUCAGCUCUGAGACCCAGGAAGAAAUAACAGACUUCACCUUGGAAUAGCUCACCUCACUCCUGCAUCAUUAAAGCGGAUUUUGUAAAGAAAACAAAAAUCAACCCCCAUUCCAGCCCCUCCUCAUUCCACCACUGAACAGAAAGAGUUUCCUGCUCCAGGAUUCAAGCACAGCAACAUAUAAGAAGAAAACAUAUCACCAAAUAUUGAUAGAGUAAAUAUAAAGGAAGGCCCACUGGGGAGAAAAGAGUGAGCUGACAUGAUCAAGAAGUGGUUUUCAGUGACUGUGAUCAACAAGGAAAGGGAAAGACAAACUCUCCUCCCACUGAAGUCUUCAUAGCCAUACAUCACUUCUUUCCUUCUUCUAACCUUGUUUCAAAUGCAGCCGUAUUCAGAAAGGUGCCGUUUAGAGAUUAAGGAAUGCGCCAGUGACCACGCGGGACCCAACUGACAAAUUGUUUCUGUGUUCUGACCAGCAUCAAUCGUGUGUUGGAAGCUUUUCUGUCACCAGUUAAAAUGAUUCUUAUAGCUCUCGCAAGGUCACUUCCAAGGACUAUUACUUACUUUCUCAAACUGAAUGACCUUGUACAAAAUAGGAAAUACGAAAAAAGGGGGGAGAUGAUUACAACUUAAAUAGCCUUUGUAAAAAUUUACCAUGGAUUAUGAACAACUACACAGAUUCUCAGUGAAUCCUCACAAAGACUCUAAAGUAAGAAGUAACUUUUGAAUUUUAAAGAGAAGCCCU